This 31-nucleotide non-coding RNA is filed under the name Mus musculus (house mouse). The record is from RNAcentral. Lineage: Eukaryota; Metazoa; Chordata; Mammalia; Rodentia; Muridae. RNAcentral also lists the same sequence under 1 other name.
GUGGUGUGCACACUGUCUGUCAUUGUCAGAA